AACGCACGAGACCUGCGGACCUGCGGAAGGAUCAUUACAGGACUCGCAAGACUCCUACAACCCUGUGAACCUACUAUACGAACGUUGCUUCGGCGGGUGCGCCCCGGGGAUUCGUUCCCGCGGCGCGUCAGCCCGCCGGCAGCCUACAAAUUCUGUUUCUUUGCGUUGGCAUCUCGAGAAAAACAAAUAAGUUAAAACUUUCAACAAUGGAUCUCU
RNAcentral lists this unclassified non-coding RNA (216 nucleotides) under soil metagenome. Its description in RNAcentral is "partial contains 5.8S ribosomal RNA, internal transcribed spacer 2, and large subunit ribosomal RNA". The record is from RNAcentral.